GGGCCCGCACAAGCGGUGGAGCAUGUGGUUUAAUUCGAUGCAACGCGAAGAACCUUACCUACCCUUGACAUCCUCGGAAUCUGCCGGAGACGGCGGAGUGCCUUCGGGAACCGAGUGACAGGUGCUGCAUGGCUGUCGUCAGCUCGUGUUGUGAAAUGUUGGGUUAAGUCCCGUAACGAGCGCAACCCCUGUCCCUAUUUGCCAGCGAUUCGGUCGGGAACUCUAGGGAGACUGCCGGUGACAAACCGGAGGAAGGUGGGGACGACGUCAAGUCAUCAUGGCCCUUACGGGUAGGGCUACACACGUGCUACAAUGGCAGGUACAAAGGGUUGCAAGACGGCGACGUGGAGCUAAUCCCAUAAAGCCUGCCUCAGUCCGGAUCGGAGUCUGCAACUCGACUCCGUGAAGUCGGAAUCGCUAGUAAUCGU
Molecule: ribosomal RNA, 428 nt
Filed under: uncultured bacterium
Lineage: Bacteria
Description: bacterial SSU rRNA
Rfam family: Bacterial small subunit ribosomal RNA
Source: RNAcentral